This 677-nucleotide ribosomal RNA is filed under the name Vernicia fordii. Its description in RNAcentral is "eukaryotic LSU rRNA". The stretch from base 285 to 440 matches the Rfam family "5.8S ribosomal RNA". The record is from RNAcentral. Lineage: Eukaryota; Viridiplantae; Streptophyta; Magnoliopsida; Malpighiales; Euphorbiaceae.
AACCUGCGGAAGGAUCAUUGUCGAAACCUGCACAGCAGAACGACCCGCGAACGCGUCUAUCUACGCAAGGGCGAGCUCGGGCGCUUCGGCCCCCGCGCGAGCCCAAAGGCCGAGCCGGGUGCUGCUGGGAAAUGCCUCGGCCCUUCCCGCACGCUCGACCCGGUCCACAAACCAACCCCGGCGCAGGACGCGCCAAGGAAACACGAAACGAGAAGAGCACGCGCCCGUCGGCCCCGGAAACGGGCAGCCUCAGGGAUGCGCUGUCCUCUAUCUAUAACCAAAACGACUCUCGGCAACGGAUAUCUCGGCUCUCGCAUCGAUGAAGAACGCAGCGAAAUGCGAUACUUGGUGUGAAUUGCAGAAUCCCGCGAACCAUCGAGUCUUUGAACGCAAGUUGCGCCCGAAGCCUUUCGGCCGAGGGCACGUCUGCCUGGGUGUCACGCAACGUCGCUCCCACCCCGUGUGGGGGCGGAUUCUGGCCUCCCGUGCGCCGGUCGGCCGCGGUUGGCCCAAAAGCCUAGUCCCCGGCUGCGAAUGCCACGACAAUCGGUGGUUGUAAGACCCUCGGACACGGUCGUGCGCGGACGCACGCCCCGGAACAUCGAGACCCCUCUGCGUCCCUAAGGGCACGCUCCCAUCGCGACCCCAGGUCAGGCGGGACUACCCGCUGAGUUUAA